AGUGAACGCUGGCGGUAGGCCUAACACAUGCAAGUCGAACGGCAGCACAGUAAUAGCUUGCUCUUACGGGUGGCGAGUGGCGGACGGGUGAGGAAUACAUCGGAAUCUACUUUUUCGUGGGGGAUAACGUAGGGAAACUUACGCUAAUACCGCAUACGACCUACGGGUGAAAGCAGGGGAUCUUCGGACCUUGCGCGAUUGAAUGCGCCGAUGUCGGAUUAGCUAGUUGGCGGGGUAAAGGCCCACCAAGGCGACGAUCCGUAGCUGGUCUGAGAGGAUGAUCGGCCACACUGGAACUGAGACACGGUCCAGACUCCUACGGGAGGCAGCAGUGGGGAAUAUUGGACAAUGGGCGCAAGCCUGAUCCAGCCAUACCGCGUGGGUGAAGAAGGCCUUCGGGUUGUAAAGCCCUUUUGUUGGGAAAGAAAAGCAGCAGGUUAAUACCCCGCUGUUCUGACGGUACCCAAAGAAUAAGCACCGGCUAACUUCGUG
This 492-nucleotide ribosomal RNA is filed under the name uncultured bacterium. RNAcentral's name for it is "partial 16S ribosomal RNA". It matches the Rfam family "Bacterial small subunit ribosomal RNA", at positions 29 to 507 of the family's 1533-position model. The record is from RNAcentral.